This 253-nucleotide ribosomal RNA is filed under the name uncultured bacterium. RNAcentral's name for it is "partial 16S ribosomal RNA". It matches the Rfam family "Bacterial small subunit ribosomal RNA", at positions 524 to 776 of the family's 1533-position model. The record is from RNAcentral.
GACGAACCGUGCGAACGUUAUUCGGAAUCACUGGGCUUAAAGGGCGCGUAGGCGGGCUGCCAAGUCCGGGGUGAAAUCCUCCAGCUCAACUGGAGAACUGCCUCGGAUACUGGAAGUCUCGAGGGAGAUAGGGGCACGCGGAACCGUGGGUGGAGCGGUGAAAUGCGUUGAUAUCCAUGGGAACUCCGGUGGCGAAGGCGGCGUGCUGGAUCUCUUCUGACGCUGAGGCGCGAAAGCCAGGGGAUCAAACGGG